This 253-nucleotide ribosomal RNA is filed under the name uncultured bacterium. Its description in RNAcentral is "partial 16S ribosomal RNA". It matches the Rfam family "Bacterial small subunit ribosomal RNA", at positions 524 to 776 of the family's 1533-position model. The record is from RNAcentral.
UACGGAGGGUGCGAGCGUUAAUCGGAAUUACUGGGCGUAAAGCGCGCGUAGGCGGUUCGAUAAGUCAGAUGUGAAAUCCCCGGGCUCAACCUGGGAAUGGCAUUUGAUACUGUCAGACUGGAGUGUGGUAGAGGGAAGUGGAAUUCCGCAUGUAGCGGUGAAAUGCGUAGAUAUGCGGAGGAACACCAGUGGCGAAAGCGGCUUCCUGGACCAACACUGACGCUGAGGUGCGAAAGCGUGGGGAGCAAACAGG